Non-coding RNA from Misgurnus anguillicaudatus (oriental weatherfish), 1000 nucleotides. The record is from RefSeq and is a predicted model, not a curated record. NCBI's taxonomy places the organism in Eukaryota, Metazoa, Chordata, Actinopteri, Cypriniformes, Cobitidae.
CUCAUUUCUCAGCUAUAAACAGACAUAAAACCAAUAAUCUUGUUUAAAGUCAUACACUCAUAAAAUCAUGACUAUAAAAUCUGUUAUUGCAAAGAUGAUGUUAUUAUAUCAUAGCUUUACAUGAGCUGUAAAGCUGUAUUGUUGUUGAACUUUGUGUUUUAUGAUAAUGAGAAAUUAUUUUUUUCUGAUAUCUAUUUUUUCCCGCAGUUACCAGCUGAGUUCUGGUGAUGAAGGUCUACACUGCAAAUUAUGAUGUUAGCAGAUCUGCAGCGAUUUCUGGGUAAUGACUGGAAUCUGUGUCUGAAUUCACACCAACGCAAAUGGCACGGCCAACAGGAAGCAGAACCUGUCAGAACGGCACUGAAGCGUUUGACAGGGACCGCCUGAGCUGAGUUUGCAUUACAGAGCAGAACCCAGACAGUGGAACAUGGACAUCAGAUCUCACUUCAUCUCUUAUUCUAAGAGAAAAAAGCCAGAAACACUGACAGGCCAGGCAUUCGUUUUCAACCAGCUUUACGCUGCAGCACACCAGUCACGAUGAAGGAAACAGAGGCACGUGUCAGAAUUUAUUACACCAUUGGGACGAUUUACACGAUUCAUCUUCAAACUGUGCCCCUUUUGACAGCGACAUGACGAACCAAAGAGUGAAUAAAAUCUAUAAUCAUGCAAAAAAGUUGUUGUUCAAAGUAAUAGUUCACCCAAAAAUGAAAAUUAUGACAUCAUUUACUCACCCUCAAGUUGUUGAAAACCUGAAUAAAUUUCUUUGUUCUGUUCAACACAGGGUUCCCACACCUUAGUUAACUUCAAAUUCAAGGACCUUUCAAGGACUUUUCCAGGUCCAAUACCCUCAAAUUCAAGGACUAAAUGUGGGGAUUUUGUUACCUUUUAAGAUACAUUGUUACAGUUCCCUUUCGAGGGAACUCGCGCUGCAUCACUGCGGUGACACUUUGGGGACGCCUCCAGUGGUAAGUGCGUCUGAAUGUGUAUAUCAAAUUUAACC